AGUGGGGUAGAGGAAUUGGUCAACUCAUCAGGCUCAUGACCUGAAGACUGCAGGUUCGAAUCAUGUCCCCGCCU
RNAcentral lists this transfer RNA (74 nucleotides) under Triticum aestivum (bread wheat). It matches the Rfam family "tRNA". Rfam says of the family: Transfer RNA (tRNA) molecules are approximately 80 nucleotides in length. Their secondary structure includes four short double-helical elements and three loops (D, anti-codon, and T loops). Further hydrogen bonds mediate the characteristic L-shaped molecular structure. tRNAs have two regions of fundamental functional importance: the anti-codon, which is responsible for specific mRNA codon recognition, and the 3' end, to which the tRNAs corresponding amino acid is attached (by aminoacyl-tRNA synthetases). tRNAs cope with the degeneracy of the genetic code in two manners: having more than one tRNA (with a specific anti-codon) for a particular amino acid; and 'wobble' base-pairing, i.e. permitting non-standard base-pairing at the 3rd anti-codon position. The record is from Rfam by way of RNAcentral. RNAcentral also lists the same sequence under 1 other name. Lineage: Eukaryota; Viridiplantae; Streptophyta; Magnoliopsida; Poales; Poaceae.